CGCCACCCAGGCGCCCCUUAAACAAAACAUUUUAAAAACACAGAAAACUAAUAAAGCAAAUUCCCAUGUGCCCCUUCCCCAAGAAUAAACAGUUAAUGUUUUGUUUCAGAAUUUUGUUUGUUUAUAGAAAAAUAGAUCCGGUUAUAUAGAGGACUCCUUUUCCUCCUGAAACCCCGCUAAAGAAAUAGCAGGGGAAUUAUAAGAAGUUAAAAUCCACAAGGACACAAAGAACAGAAAAAGGAGGGAAUGGGAGAUGAGCGACAAAAGUCUGGAAGAUGAACAGCACGUAAGUCAUGACUGCGGAGAAAAGAGGAAGUGGAAACAUGAAUCUUCAAAAAGAGACCAGCGGACUCAACCACAGGACCUUGGAGCGGCUCAGGAUUCAUUGGUACCACGUCCUUCCAAAGAUGAGGAAACCAAGCCGUUCGUCCGAGCUCUCACAGCCAACAAGAGAAAGGAUCCAAACCACGCCAUGUGUGGUUCUGAGGAGGCAAAUAUUAUCCUGCCCAUUUUACAGAUGAGAAAACUGAGGUCUCAAGACUGAAGUGACUUGCCUGGCUCACGCAGGAAGUGGCUUAGCCAGAAUUCCAGCCCAGGUUUGUCUGACCUCCAAGUCCAUGCUCUUGACAUCACCUGCUCCCACCUCCCCCUCUGGGAGUGGUGGGCCUUGGUUUACAAAGGAUGAGAGAGAAGAAACCAGAGAAGGCGCUGAGCAGAGGUAGAGGCCCCUUCCAAAGCCCCAUGCCUAAUUUUGUUUUUUGUAAUUGCGUUUUCUCUACCUUUUUUAUCUUUAGUUUAUUUAUUUUGAGAGAGAGAGAGAGAGAGAC
Herpailurus yagouaroundi (jaguarundi) is the source of this 827-nucleotide long non-coding RNA. RefSeq lists it as uncharacterized. The transcript is spliced from 3 exons. NCBI's taxonomy places the organism in Eukaryota, Metazoa, Chordata, Mammalia, Carnivora, Felidae. The record is from RefSeq and is a predicted model, not a curated record.